Molecule: long non-coding RNA, 241 nt
Filed under: Elaeis guineensis (African oil palm)
Lineage: Eukaryota; Viridiplantae; Streptophyta; Magnoliopsida; Arecales; Arecaceae
Description: long non-coding RNA (EGUI_LNC062081)
Source: RNAcentral
CUCUCUUCCAUAUCCACAUGCCUAGAGUAGGCUUCCUCCAUAUCUCACGCCCAAAGAAGUUGGGCUAAUCCAGUGUGUGCUUGAAGGUGUUCAGGCACCGUCUAACUAAAGGAAGAAGAAGGUUGCAUCCGACAAUCCAAGUGAUCAGAUCAUCAUUGAUCGAGAGCCUCAGAUCCAUCUUGAGAAGAUGGAUCAGAUCUGAAGAAGGCAUCUUAGAUUGAGUCUCAAUGGAUAUCUACAG